GAACACAACUUCCCACCCAUCAUCAGUUUCUAAUUAACCUUGUACAUAGUUUGUGCUAAUGAUGGCGGUCUCCGAGAACUCUCGCCGCUCCUCUAUGAUUCCCUCCUUCCUAUACUCCUCCUCAUCAUCAACAACAGCUACAACAACAAAUGGAGUAGUGUCGACAAAGAAUAGCAUAAUGGUUGCAGCUCCGAGUGAGAAGAUAAAGAUGUACUCACCAGCAUUUUAUGCAGCUUGUACUGCUGGUGGCAUGCUCAGUUGUGGUCUAACUCAUACCGCUGUCACUCCUCUUGAUCUUGUCAAGUGUAAUAUGCAGAUUGAUCCAGCAAAGUAUAAGAAUAUAAGCUCUGGGUUUGGAAUUUUGGUGAGAGAGCAAGGGAUCAAGGGCUUGUUCAGGGGUUGGGCUCCAACUUUUCUUGGUUACAGUGCUCAAGGAGCUUUUAAAAUGGGGGGUUAUGAGUUCUUCAAGAAGUAUUAUUCAGAUAUUGCAGGUCCUGAGUACGCGACCAAGUAUAAAACCUUGAUAUACCUGGCUGGCUCAGCAUCUGCAGAGGUGAUUGCUGAUGUUGCCCUUUGCCCUUUCGAGGCUGUCAAAGUUCGUGUGCAGACUCAACCUGGCUUUGCUCGAGGCCUGUCUGACGGUCUCCCUAAGUUUGUCAAGUCUGAAGGUGUUAUGGGAUUGUACAAAGGACUAGUUCCUCUAUGGGGCCGUCAGAUUCCAUAUACAAUGAUGAAGUUUGCAUCAUUUGAGACCAUCGUGGAGCUAAUGUACAAGCAUGCAAUUCCUACACCUAAAGACGAGUGCAGCAAAACACUGCAGCUUGGAGUUAGCUUUGCUGGUGGAUAUGUUGCUGGUGUACUUUGUGCUGUUGUAUCACACCCUGCAGACAACUUGGUUUCUUUCCUCAACAACGCUAAGGGUGCAUCUGUUAGCGAUGCUGUGAAGAAGUUAGGACUAUUGGGUUUAUUUACGCGUGGCCUUCCCCUUCGUAUAGUCAUGAUCGGAACCCUUACUGGCGCUCAAUGGGGUAUCUAUGAUGCUUUUAAAGUGUCUGUUGGCCUGCCAACUACCGGUGGAGCCUCUCCUGCUAUUGAAGCUAAAGAAUGAACCAGAGUGUUCGUCAACAAUAGACAAUCUUCUCAUGAUUUGUACACUAAUACCUGUUUUGACAGAUAGAAGACUCCAUCCGGUUUUGUGAGUCCACGCGAACUCGGAGUUGCACCAAUUCUGGAGGGCGACCGCAUUCUGUUCUACUGCACUGGGAGGUAGCGCAUAAUCGUUUUUAGGACAGUGGGUGUCCACGACGCAACAAUUGUUCAUCAAUCCGUUCACCAAUCAGAUAAGUUUGUUCUGAUUUUUGGUAUUAUCGCAACAGUAGGAACAUCCACAGCCAAAUCAUAUAAGACUCCAUAUAGCCAUUUCAGCUCGCUUGUUGUAUGUGACAUAUUCAGCUUCACAUAGGAAGA
Spinacia oleracea (spinach) is the source of this 1467-nucleotide RNA transcript. It is a transcript of the gene named mitochondrial phosphate carrier protein 3, mitochondrial, with no coding region annotated. The record is from RefSeq and is a predicted model, not a curated record. Lineage: Eukaryota; Viridiplantae; Streptophyta; Magnoliopsida; Caryophyllales; Amaranthaceae. The transcript has 7 exons.